Molecule: non-coding RNA, 848 nt
Organism: Rattus norvegicus (Norway rat)
Lineage: Eukaryota; Metazoa; Chordata; Mammalia; Rodentia; Muridae
Source: RefSeq, a predicted model, not a curated record
UCUGUGUCUUCUGCUGAACUGAUUCCUUUCAGAUAACAUCGAUUCAUCGUGACUAGGGUUUCAUUUUUCUUUAGCAUCCAAAAGGCUCAGAACUAAGUUUUAAAUUCAGUUAUAGCCAUUUGCCGCCAAGAUAAUUGCGGGGUUUGUUUAGCUCUAAUGUUUUAUUUCUAGAUUUUAGUUUAAACCACCUUUACAUCUAUAUAGACACUAAAUGUGCUAAAAUAAACUUAACAUGGGUAGUGUUAAGGGAGGGAGACAUGAGGCUUGAAUCCCAAUAUGGCAAAAACAAACAGAAAACCAGCAAUUUGGCACACUGUGCUGUCUUAUAUUUUACAAAAAUAAAUGUGAAAGUAUAUGACCUAUGUUAUGAUCUUUAAAGAGUUUGUAGAAAUGGAAAAGGACUCAGAGAAAAGCAACGUAAAGAACAGGAGAAGAGGAGGAGGAGGACCACGACAACAACGGUGACGACGAUGAUGACGAAGACAACUGGAGAUAAAUAUCCAAAGCAUUUUCCAGCCAACAGUAUAGCAGAGCAUCUCAAUGGACCAAGGAAGAACCAGCCUGAGCUGCCAAGUCGGAUGAGAAACCCAACUGCCAAAUCAGCUAUCAGGGUGAAGUUCCUAACACCCUGGUACCACUUGCCUAGACAGUUGAAGCCAGUGAGUUUUCUGGUAGGCUUUUUUCUUUUAAUCCAUUUUGCGUAACUCAUAUCCAUUUAGUGAGCCGAUUAAUGGCUGGGUCAUCUAUCCCCAAAAUACAUUCAUUUGUAACACACCUCCUCCUCCAAUUUUGCCCAUGAUUGCACAGGGUUCGUGGAUUAAAUAAAGCCUAUCCUUAGAUAACCCGGC